This 302-nucleotide ribosomal RNA is filed under the name uncultured bacterium. RNAcentral describes it as "bacterial SSU rRNA". It matches the Rfam family "Bacterial small subunit ribosomal RNA", at positions 215 to 507 of the family's 1533-position model. The record is from RNAcentral.
ACCGUAGGGAUGACGCCCGCGUACCAGUUAGGUUGUUGGGUGGGGUAAAGGCCUACCAAGCCAUAGAUGGUUAGCUGGUCUGAGAGGAUGAUCAGCCACACUGGGACUGAGACACGGCCCAGACUCCUACGGGAGGCAGCAGGUGGGGAAUAUUGCGCAAUGGGGGCAACCCUGACGCAGCAACGCCGCGUGUGUGAAGAAGGCCCUCGGGUCGUAAAGCACUGUCGAAUAGAACGAGCCGGAUGCGGUUAAUACCCGUGUCCCCGACGGUACUAUUUGAGGAAGCACCGGCUAACUCCGUG